CUUGCAUCUCCAGCACAUAUUUGACUCGCUAGCAUUCAUUUUAUUUAAUCUUGUUGGCACUGAAUACCAUCUGUUGCACACUUUAAAGUGUGUUUCAAACAAUAUUAUAUUUUGUACAUUUUUCUUAGUUCUGACUAGAGUUUCACCCCAGACACAGAUAUUAAUUUCAAUAUUGCACUCGCUUUCCCAUUUUCUUAACUGUUUUGGCAAAAU
Non-coding RNA from Pelobates cultripes (western spadefoot toad), 213 nucleotides. Lineage: Eukaryota; Metazoa; Chordata; Amphibia; Anura; Pelobatidae. The record is from the annotation of a GenBank genome assembly.